This 440-nucleotide ribosomal RNA is filed under the name uncultured bacterium. RNAcentral's name for it is "partial 16S ribosomal RNA". It matches the Rfam family "Bacterial small subunit ribosomal RNA", at positions 338 to 795 of the family's 1533-position model. The record is from RNAcentral.
CCUACGGGAUGCAGCAGUGGGGACUAUUGCACAAUGGGGGAAACCCUGAUGCCGCGACGCCGCGUGAAGGAAGAAGUAUUUCGGUAUGUAAACUUCUAUCAGCAGGGCAGAACAUGACGGUACCUGACUAAGAACCCCCUGCUAACUACUUGCCAGCAUCCGCUGUAAUACGUAGGGGGCAAGCGUUAUCCGGAUUUACUGGGGGUAAAGGGAGCGUAGGCGGUGCAGCAAGUCAGAAGUGAAAGCCACGGGCUCAACUCCGGGACCGCUUUUGAAACUGUUGAACUAGAUUGCAGGAGAGGUAAGUGGAAUUCCUAGUGUAGCGGUGAAAGGCGUAGAUAUUAGGAGGAACACCAGUGGCGAAGGCGGCUUACUGGACUGUAAAUGACGCUGAGGCUCGAAAGCGUGGGGAGCAAACAGGAUUAGAUACCCGAGUAGUC